CGGACGGGUGAGUAACGCGUGGGUAACCUGCCUCAUAUAGGGGGAUAACGGUUAGAAAUGACUGCUAAUACCGCAUAAGCGCACAGUACCGCAUGGUACGGUGUGAAAAACUCCGGUGGUAUGAGAUGGACCCGCGUCUGAUUAGCUAGUUGGUGAGGUAACGGCCCACCAAGGCGACGAUCAGUAGCCGACCUGAGAGGGUGACCGGCCACAUUGGGACUGAGACACGGCCCAG
RNAcentral lists this ribosomal RNA (235 nucleotides) under uncultured bacterium. Its description in RNAcentral is "partial 16S ribosomal RNA". It matches the Rfam family "Bacterial small subunit ribosomal RNA", at positions 99 to 334 of the family's 1533-position model. The record is from RNAcentral.